CCGUAAACAUUGAUAGAUUAAUACAACCCCUAUCCGCCCGGGAACUACGAGCACCAGCUUAAAACCCAAAGGACUUGGCGGUGCUUUAGAUCCUACUAGAGGAGCCUGUUCUAGAACCGAUAACCCCCGUUCAACCUCACCUUUCCUUGUUUUUCCCGCCUAUAUACCGCCGUCGUCAGCCCACCCUAUGAAGGACUAAAAGUAGGCUAAAUUGGCACAGCCCAGAACGUCAGGCCGAGGUGUAGCGUAUGGAAGGGGAAGAAAUGGGCUACAUUCCCUAUAUUAGGGCACACGAAUGGUGUGCUGAAACGCACAUCUUGAAGGAGGAUUUAGCAGUAAGCAGGAAGUAGAGCGUUCUGCUGAAACUGGCUC
This 372-nucleotide ribosomal RNA is filed under the name Pagetodes antarcticus. RNAcentral describes it as "partial 12S ribosomal RNA". It matches the Rfam family "Bacterial small subunit ribosomal RNA", at positions 800 to 1374 of the family's 1533-position model. Lineage: Eukaryota; Metazoa; Chordata; Actinopteri; Perciformes; Channichthyidae. The record is from RNAcentral.